UGGGGAAUAUUGGACAAUGGGCGAAAGCCUGAUCCAGCCAUGCCGCGUGUGUGAAGAAUGUCUUCGGUUUGUAAAGCACUUUAAGUUGGGAGGAAGGGCAGUAAGCGAAUACCUUGCUGUUUUGACGUUACCGACAGAAUAAGCACCGGCUAACUCUGUGCCAGCAGCCGCGGUAAUACAGUGGGUGCAAGCGUUAAUCGGAAUUACUGGGCGUAAAGCGCGCGUAGGUGGUUCGUUAAGUUGAAUGUGAAAGCCCCGGGCUCAACCUGGGAACUGCAUCCAAAACUGGCGAGGUAGAGGAGGGCAGAGGGUGGUGGAAUUUCCGGUGUAGCGGUGAAAUGCGGAGAAAUAGGAAGGAAAACCAGUGGCGAAGGCGACCACCUGGGCUCAUACUGACACUGAGGUGCGAAAGCGUGGGGAGCAAACAGG
This 429-nucleotide ribosomal RNA is filed under the name Pseudomonadota bacterium. RNAcentral's name for it is "Proteobacteria bacterium partial 16S ribosomal RNA". It matches the Rfam family "Bacterial small subunit ribosomal RNA", at positions 355 to 776 of the family's 1533-position model. Lineage: Bacteria; Pseudomonadati; Pseudomonadota. The record is from RNAcentral.